UCUGCUGUCACAUAAACAGUGUGAUUUCAGCUGCUAUUCACCCUUUAUUGGCUCUCAUUUGUGAUUUAACAGCCAUCAAUGACUGUGCUAUAAAGAAUAAAUUAACCAUCCGUAAACCCUACGAUGACAGGGACAGUCAAAUAGACUGGAUUGCCUUCUGCCCAGCUCGCGGAGCCUACAGAGACCAGGUGAAGUCCAGAAGUGAAAAAGAACCCAAGACAUACUGCCUGCAGAAAAUUCAGCUUGGAAGUGUCUGUGUUUACAGCAAAGGAGGGAGGCUGUCAGAAGAUGGCCUUGAGGGUUCUCUAAUCGGCCUUUUUGGAGGACGAGACUGGAAUGUGCCGAUGAUAUAUCUCCCAUUUCAUGGCAUUCAGAAAUCCUCAAUGAUGGCAAUCUGUAGGGAAGAAAUAAACGGCAACUUGCUGAGCACGUCUAACCAUGAUAUAUAGACUCUGGUACAGACUUGGGUUUCUUUGGAGCUUCAAAGGAGACCUUCCUCUGUUAUUGUUAGCCUGUGCAUUGGACAAACAAGACCAUUCGAGUUCCAAAACGCUGGAAAACAGCCGACAGCUAGGCCUCAGGAU
Long non-coding RNA from Rhinolophus ferrumequinum (greater horseshoe bat), 584 nucleotides. RefSeq lists it as uncharacterized. Lineage: Eukaryota; Metazoa; Chordata; Mammalia; Chiroptera; Rhinolophidae. The transcript is spliced from 4 exons. The record is from RefSeq and is a predicted model, not a curated record.